GGAUUAUGGAGGAGAAAGCAAGAGGAGCCCACCAGGGCUUUAGAUGCCAAAGAAGUCUGUUUUCAUGCACAUGACCCUUCAGGUCAGCUUUGGUCAACUCAACUUUGUUAGCAAAAGAAUGGAAAAAAGCGAAAACAAUAAACCAGAGAUAGCACAAUCACCAAGUGUGGAAGAUGACUCCAUCUAUGGGCUCCUGCUUACGGAAUCCACUGUGUUCUGGAGGAAGUGAACAUGAUGGCGGUCACUGAAUAUGCAUGUAAUAUUAUUCUUGCCAGCAAGAAGAUUGAUUCCAUUCCUUCCAAGGGCCCCAACUACAAAUGUCAGCACAAUCCAUGCAAGGUGCUCAUUUCUCUACAGAGCUGUUCUCAAAAGCCACAAAGUCCUGAACUCAAAAGAUCCAGGCGGUAACUGGGUGGCUAGUUCUUUCUUGAAUUUUAAGAUCUUGCUUUCUCUUGCGUUGCUGAAGUUUUCCAAAUAGAAAUUUGAGGAUGGUAGAAAGCUGGUAGCUCAGUGACAGAGCACCUUCUUUGUAGGCAGAUGGGUCCAUGUUCAACCUGCAGCAUCUCCAGGUAGGACUGGAAAUGUCCCCUUGAGAGCCACUGCCAGUCAGUGCAUUCAAUACUCAGCCAGGUAAAUCAGUGGUCUGACUUGGUAUAAGGAAGCUUCCUAUGUUCUGCUGUAAUUUGACUUCUGAUUUCUCUGCUAUUUGUCAAUAUGGGGACAAUUGUGCAUGGUGGUGCCUGUACAUUUUGUGAAUUUUUAGCUGGGCAAAGAAAAAGUUUAUUGAGCAUCUUAACUCUGAAAUAGUUAACUUGAACAAGCCAAAUUUGUUAGCACCAAAUUUGUUUCAUGCCUUCCCCACAAACAUAUAUGUGGCCUUUUCUCAGCAUAUGUUUUGCAUUGACAGGAAGAUCUGGUUUUCCCAGCAGACAUUUAGAUGUUUUUUGUUUGUUUUUAAGUAGCAAUAUCUGACUUGUGGCUUCCAAUUAUGUUGCUAUUUUGUGCAUUAUUUAUUGUUCUUAUCCAGCUCCUUCAGACUUUCCUGUUAGCAACAGAUAUGGUUGCUGUCAUUUCCUGCUGGUUUUCUAUGUUGUGAUAGU
Podarcis raffonei (Aeolian wall lizard) is the source of this 1100-nucleotide long non-coding RNA. RefSeq lists it as uncharacterized. The record is from RefSeq and is a predicted model, not a curated record. NCBI's taxonomy places the organism in Eukaryota, Metazoa, Chordata, Lepidosauria, Squamata, Lacertidae. The transcript has 4 exons.